AUGCGCCAAUGCCAUAUUUGGAGGCAAUGACGUCACGGCGACGCGACGAAGGCUGUCCGAAUUCAAAGAGUACUCAAAAUGUGGCGACAAAUGCGUCCUACUUUGCCCUGAAUUCUAAGGAUGGUCCGAUGUAUCCUUCAUGUCCUACUAUAUCCCAGGAUUCAUUGCGGGUCAUAGAGGAGAUUUGUUUCUGAUAACGAUGGUGGUCGAAGCAGGAGAGGAAAACACUUUCAAAUGGCCAAGCGCAGCAGUGGGUGACCAAAACGACAGCGAUGACGAAGCGGCUCAGCCACCUACGACAGGGAGAAAGAGGAAAAGAGAUGAUGAGCUGCUAGACCUCAUCAGAGCGGACAUGAGGCAGCAAAGAGAGGCUGAGGAGAGGAG
Molecule: long non-coding RNA, 384 nt
Organism: Oreochromis aureus
Lineage: Eukaryota; Metazoa; Chordata; Actinopteri; Cichliformes; Cichlidae
Source: Ensembl